This 234-nucleotide ribosomal RNA is filed under the name Trichosporon sp. 'multisporum'. RNAcentral's name for it is "Trichosporon multisporum partial large subunit ribosomal RNA". Lineage: Eukaryota; Fungi; Basidiomycota; Tremellomycetes; Trichosporonales; Trichosporonaceae. The record is from RNAcentral.
AAACGAUUGAAGUCAGUCGUGUUCAUUGGAUAAAGCCGGUCUUCGGUGUACUUCCUUUGAACGGGUCAACAUCAGUUUUGUUCGGUGGAUAAAGGCAGUAGGAAUGUGGCUCCCUCGGGAGUGUUAUAGCCUAUUGUCACAUACACUGGAGGAGACUGAGGACUGCAGCUCGCCUUUAUGGCCGGGGUUCGCCCACGUUCGAGCUUAGGAUGUUGACAUAAUGGCUUUAAACGA